UGGCGAACGGGUGAGUAACACGUGGGUAACCUGCCCAUCAGAAGGGGAUAACACUUGGAAACAGGUGCUAAUACCGUAUAACACUAUUUUCCGCAUGGAAGAAAGUUGAAAAGGCGCUUUUGCGUCACUGAUGGAUGGACCCGCGGUGCAUUAGCUAGUUGGUGAGGUAACGGCUCACCAAGGCAACGAUGCAUAGCCGACCUGAGAGGGUGAUCGGCCACACUGGGACUGAGACACGGCCCAGACCUCUACGGGAGGCAGCAGUAGGGAAUCUUCGGCAAUGGACGAAAGUCUGACCGAGCAACGCCGCGUGAGUGAAGAAGGUUUUCGGAUCGUAAAACUCUGUUGUUAGAGAAGAACAAGGAUGAGAGUAGAACGUUCAUCCCUGACG
Molecule: ribosomal RNA, 391 nt
Filed under: Enterococcus casseliflavus
Lineage: Bacteria; Bacillati; Bacillota; Bacilli; Lactobacillales; Enterococcaceae
Description: bacterial SSU rRNA
Rfam family: Bacterial small subunit ribosomal RNA
Source: RNAcentral